UGGGGGAUAUUGCACAAUGGGCGAAAGCCUGAUGCAGCGACGCCGCGUGGGGGAUGAAGGCCUUCGGGUUGUAAACUUCUUUUGCCCUGAACAAGGCAUGCCUUUGGGGUGUGUUGAGUGUAGGGGUUGAUUAGCGCCGGCUAACUACGUGCCAGCAGCCGCGGUAAUACGUAGGGCGCGAGCGUUGUCCGGAAUUAUUGGGCGUAAAGGGCUUGUAGGUGGCUGGUUGCGUCGGUCGUGAAAGCUCAUGGCUUAACUGUGGGUUUGCGGUGGGUACGGGCUGGCGUGAGUGCAGUAGGGGAGGCUGGAAUUCCUGGUGUAGCGGUGGAAUGCGCAGAUAUCAGGAGGAAUACCGGUGGCGAAGGCGGGUGUCUGGGCUGUUACUGACGCUGAGGAGCGAAAGCGUGGGGAGCGAACAGG
This 420-nucleotide ribosomal RNA is filed under the name Fusobacteriota bacterium. Its description in RNAcentral is "Fusobacteria bacterium partial 16S ribosomal RNA". It matches the Rfam family "Bacterial small subunit ribosomal RNA", at positions 355 to 776 of the family's 1533-position model. The record is from RNAcentral. Lineage: Bacteria; Fusobacteriati; Fusobacteriota.